Ictalurus punctatus (channel catfish) is the source of this 4449-nucleotide long non-coding RNA. Lineage: Eukaryota; Metazoa; Chordata; Actinopteri; Siluriformes; Ictaluridae. The record is from Ensembl.
CGGUUAUUGCACUAGACAAGAUGAUAUCUUUUUCACGAAUGAAUGAGUGUGUGUGCAGUGUCUCUAUUUAUCCAGUUGGAGGCAGAACACGUCUGCUGUUCAGCUCCUUCAGCACCUUUUUAUUGUCACACCCACAGCCUGAAGAUUUCACACAUAAAUAUGCAUGACAAGACCACAGCACCGCAAGACAGCCUCAUGGUCUCAGAACAAGAGCAGAUAUUUCUCUGUCUUCUGUAGUGUAAGAAGUUAAUGCAUGAAGAGAAUGAGCAGACUAGAGGAAGCGAAGGGCCGAAUCACAGUGGUGGUGAAGGUUUAAAUGGUGGAUCUACUCUGAGAUGAAGAUUCAUAAAUACACAGUCAUCGUCAUCAUCUUUAGCCUUUUCUGUCCUAUCACAGGUGUUACUGUCACCGAGAGGUCUGUGCAGGAGGGCGAGACGUUCAUCUUCCAUCUGCCGAAUAUAGAGUCUGGCAGAUCAGUCGAAUGGAAACAGAUGAAUAAACUGCUGGCCAUCAUUAGCCUGGACAACAACACAGUAAUAUUUCAGCAGGGACGCAGACAUCAGUUCAUGCAGAAUGGGUCAGUCGUCAUCAGAGAUGUCAAACAGGAAGACACCGGCAACUACACUUACAAUAUCAUAUUCAAAGACAAAAAAAUUCAAAGCCACAUCCUCUCACUUACCCUGUACUCAGAAACUACAGAACAGAGCCCUACUUAUAACUCCACAUUCAUUACAUCAGUUCCUCCGGCUCUUAAUAAAGUGCAGAUCGUGAUUAUCAUCUCAUCACUCGGAAGUUUGCUUCUGCUUGGCGGUGUGAUAGUCAUCGUUUUAAAAUGCAGAAGGAAACGUCGGACUCAGGAGGAACCCAUUUACAGCAACAUAUAUUACAACACGAGGACAUGCAGAAAAAAGGUCACAGGUGACCAGAAGCAAACGAAAUCAUGAAAUUCAAUAAUUUUUCUUUAUACGUCUUUAUGACACUUAAAUGUUCAUAGCAUCUUGUAGGUUUGCAUGCAAGACCCGACCUGAAACAGAAACGUGUGCAUCUGUGGUUUUGGAGGCGGUUAUUUUAAGGGUCUGGUUCGUCUUUUGCAGUUGUCAGGAAAUUGUUUUACUUGCAUGUCUGCUGGGCACUGCAAACACAGCCCUCUUUUGUUCUCUUUUAUAUAUGUUGUAUCUACAAGAUGACUGUAUACUGGAUACUUUAAGACUUUCCAAAUGACUUUUUGUAAAGCAAAGACAAUCACACUUUAGAAUAGUAUGUACUUGUGGAUGUCUGUCUAUACUGUGAAAGAAAUAUGAAUCUUAUCUGUCUGAACUUAACCUAAUUUAGAGACUUUAAGGGUUCUUCAGGUGUCCCUCUGUGGGAAAGACAAAUACUGUAGAACCCUGCUUUGGAAGCACCCUAAAUUAUCCAAUGAACCUUUAAAGAACCCUUUGUUUUGUUUUUAAGAGUGUAUGUAGUAACUGUGUAAGUAUGUGGCGCAAAAUUCCAAAUCAUUGCUCUGUUUUUUGUUUGUUCUCAAAAAAAAAAAAAGGCCUAGAAAUGCCUUUUUAUUUUUAUUUUUUAAUUUUUUUGGAAGCUACAGUAGGAAACCUUAAUUAUCCAUUGAACCCUUAAAGAACCCUGAAGAAUCUAGAAGAAAACUGACUGAAUACUAAACCCCUGACUGGAUUGGUGCAUUAAGUAGAAAAUAAUAUAGCACAAUGUGGAGUUUGUACCACAAUCUUACCUCGUUAUUACAUACAGUACACGCGCUCUGAGAAACAAAGGGUUCCUCGGGGGUUCUUUCAGGGUUUAAUGGAAAAUUAAGGGCUCUGUUUUCUUCUUUUGUUUUGUUUUUUGUUUUUUUUUAGAUGUUAGUGAGUUUGUAAAGUGAAACUCACACAUUAGUGCGAGUUGUACUUCUGUAGCACUCACGCUACACUGAUGUGUUCAAAACAAAUAGAAUUGUGCCUGUAAGAGAAUAAGAUAAACACUGGAUUUAUGACUGAAGCGUAAAAUCCAAAAAGUCCAUGUAAAUUUACAACAAUGAAUUGUUUAUUCUGUCAUUUUUGACAAAUGAAAACUUUUUUUUUUGUGGCAGAUCGCAUGCUUUAGAAAAUGUAGGUGUUUUGUAAACGUUUUCAUUUUAAUAUGUAAUAGUUCAUUUUAACAUAGGGUUAGGGUUAGGGUUAGGUUUAGGGUCUAACACUAACCCUAACCCAGCACGUCUGUAUUACAUAGGAAAAAAACACACUCACUAUGUACGUGAGGUAAAACAUCACCUCAUUAUAGCGUCAUGUAUGAUUGCACACCCCUAUAUUUUGCUUGCCUGGAAACCUAAUUUUUUUAUCGAAUCAUUUAAGGAUCGCUAGUUAAGUGCAUUAAUACAGAGUAAAGAAAUAAAUGUUGUGUUCAAAACAAACGUACAGUUUUAUGCAAAAGUUUGGGCACUCCUGGGCAAAUUCAGUAAUUGAGGCAUGUCGCAAAAGUUCCGCUUGUAAGGUCUCAGAACUUGAGCUUGUUAGGCCUUAAUUAUCUGAUUGGGAUUAACUGUUAGCCAGGUCGAGACUUGUCAUUAGUAAUAACAAUUCCGUCGUCAUAACUCUUCAAACUACCCCGGGCUCCUCUAAGCAGCUGACUGAGCACCUGAAAAUCAAGCUAUUUUAGUUGAAGCCUACAAAACGGAGGAAGGCUAUAAAAUGUUUCUAGCUGAAAUGUCAUUAAUAAAUGGCGGUUAAGAAGAACUUUCGAAGUCAAAGUAAGAGUUGGAAGACUAAAAAAAAAUUCAAAUAAAACUCAGAUAAAACUGCCAAUAUGCAAAUCCUCCAAUGGCAAUAAAGACUUGCACGAAGGUUUAUCUGACCCAGGAGUGGUAGUGCACAUUUCUACUCAGAUCGUAUUUUGCAGUUGUGGUAGCAAAAUAUGAUCUGAAUGGAAGAGUUUUCAGAAUGAAACCUUGCCUCUGAUCUCAUCACAAAUAUCAAUCUCGGAGGUAUGCAGAAAAGAAAGCCCAAUGCAUUUUGGAAACAAGUCCUAUAGACUGAUGAAGUAAAAAUAGAAGUAUUUGGCCACAGUGACUAAAACGGUGGAUCGGUUAUGCUUAGGGGUUGUGUGGCAGCCAGCGGAAUAGGAAACAUUGCACAAGUAGAAGGAAGAAUGGAUUCCAGUAAAUUCCAGCUAAUUCUGGAAUGAAAUGUGACACAAUCAGUAAUGUCACUGAAUCUGAAAAGAGACUGACUUCUAUAACAGGACAAAACAUGCUUCAAAAUCCACCAUUUCAGACAAAAGGAAGACUUUUAACCUGUAAACAGGAUAUAGCAGACCACCUGUCUUAGAAAGUGUAGUGUAGGUGUUAUAAAAACAUAAAAGUGUGUCUGCACUCAUAAAUAGCUUCUCCACCCACAAUGACUGGUAACACACACACACACACACACACACACACACACACACACACACACAGGCAGGCCUCCUCUAACUGUGUGACCAAAAACCACCAAGUGCACAAGGUUCAAUAAGAGACCAGUGUUUACACUGGAUUAUGCAAGAUCUUUCCAACCUUCUUGGCUAAAUAAAGAGUUUUUAUUAAUAUGCCACUGAAUCUAAGCAAAAAGUUUGUUGUGCAUAAAAAUUGCAUGAAAUAAACACGAGGGAGACCAAGUAUGAUUAACAUGUAAGUUUAUUGAGGUUCACAGACUAAGUAUGAACAGCAUGUAAUUUUAUUGAGAAUUCACAGGGCAGGUGGGAGUGUAAUCCUGAGGGGAGCGGUAGGAAGAAAACGGGUGAUAAAAUGGGGUGCGUCCUAGGGACGUGGGGUAGCCAGCCGAGGUGUACUGAGGAGAGUACUCGGACUGGCAGGUGAGAAAAGGGGAGAAUGGUCGGAGCCCAGAUCAGAGAAGGUGACAUCAUCCUCAGACUGAAAGCUGGAGGGAGGGUCAGGCAGAGGGUCUAUCUGUGUAGCGGCGUCAAUACACACAAUAGCAGGGCGGAUUCUAGUAUCUGAGAGGUGUAGGGAACCCCGCGUUUCCAGAGGGGGUGCGAAGAACGUCAAGUAGCACCGUGAUGUCAGCAGUGAGAUGCGCGAGCUGAUAGAGAGUGUUCAGAUCCAAAUCCAGCCCCUCCAGUAAAGGAGAGAAGGAAAAGUGACAGGCAUCUAGACACACAGAAGCGAAUAAACGGUAUUAGGCGGAUAUUGAUGAAUUGGAUUCACACUUUAAGAUUAACACUAUGAUUUAUUAUUUACAGAGAAAUAUAAGAGCUGAGCAGUGCAGGCUGAGAAACGCACACACACACAGAGGCAUACACUCUCACACAGUCAACGUCAGGCAUGCAGACAUAACACACACACACAGAGGCCUAUGCCGCCACGCACACACAUACAGAAGGAAAGCAGAACAUUAUAACUUUAUAAGAAUAAUAAAAGGAGUAUUAAGAUAUUAUAAGGAUAAUAUAAGGAGUAGUAGGAUA